UACGUAGGGUGCAAGCGUUGUCCGGAAUUAUUGGGCGUAAAGAGCUCGUAGGCGGUCUGUCACGUCGGCUGUGAAAACCCGAGGCUCAACCUCGGGCCUGCAGUCGAUACGGGCAGACUAGAGUUCGGUAGGGGAGACUGGAAUUCCUGGUGUAGCGGUGAAAUGCGCAGAUAUCAGGAGGAACACCGGUGGCGAAGGCGGGUCUCUGGGCUGAUACUGACGCUCAUGCACGAAAGCGUGGGGAGCAAACAGG
Molecule: ribosomal RNA, 253 nt
Filed under: uncultured bacterium
Lineage: Bacteria
Description: partial 16S ribosomal RNA
Rfam family: Bacterial small subunit ribosomal RNA
Source: RNAcentral